This 233-nucleotide ribosomal RNA is filed under the name uncultured bacterium. RNAcentral's name for it is "partial 16S ribosomal RNA". It matches the Rfam family "Bacterial small subunit ribosomal RNA", at positions 524 to 748 of the family's 1533-position model. The record is from RNAcentral.
UACGAAGGGUGCAAACGUUGCUCGGAAUUAUUGGGCGUAAAGCGCACGUAGGCGGCUUAGCAAGUCGGAUGUGAAAUCCCUCGGCUACAACCCGAAGGAAGUGCAUCCGAAACUUGCUGAGCUUGAGUACUUAAGAGGAUCGCGGAAUUCCCGGUGUGAGAGGUGAAAUUCGUAGAUAUCAAGGAGGAACACCAAUGGCGAAGGCAGGCUCGCUGGGACGGUACUGACCGCUG